GACGAACGCUGGCGGCGUGCUUAACACAUGCAAGUCGAACGGAAAGGCCCUGCUUUUGUGGGGUGCUCGAGUGGCGAACGGGUGAGUAACACGUGAGUAACCUGCCCUUGACUUUGGGAUAACUUCAGGAAACUGGGGCUAAUACCGGAUAGGAGCUCCUGCUGCAUGGUGGGGGUUGGAAAGUUUCGGCGGUUGGGGAUGGACUCGCGGCUUAUCAGCUUGUUGGUGGGGUAGUGGCUUACCAAGGCUUUGACGGGUAGCCGGCCUGAGAGGGUGACCGGCCACAUUGGGACUGAGAUACGGCCCAGACUCCUACGGGAGGCAGCAGGGGGGAAUAUUGCACAAUGGGCGGAAGCCUGAUGCAGCAACGCCGCGUGCGGGAUGACGGCCUUCGGGUGGUAAACAGCUUUCGCCUGUGACGAAGAGUGAGUGACGGUAAUGGGUAAAGAAGCACCGGCUAACUACGUG
This 468-nucleotide ribosomal RNA is filed under the name uncultured bacterium. Its description in RNAcentral is "partial 16S ribosomal RNA". It matches the Rfam family "Bacterial small subunit ribosomal RNA", at positions 28 to 507 of the family's 1533-position model. The record is from RNAcentral.